Molecule: ribosomal RNA, 405 nt
Filed under: uncultured Hyphomicrobiales bacterium
Lineage: Bacteria; Pseudomonadati; Pseudomonadota; Alphaproteobacteria; Hyphomicrobiales
Description: bacterial SSU rRNA
Rfam family: Bacterial small subunit ribosomal RNA
Source: RNAcentral
UGGGGAAUAUUGGACAAUGGGCGCAAGCCUGAUCCAGCCAUGCCGCGUGAGUGAUGAAGGCCUUAGGGUUGUAAAGCUCUUUUACCAGGGAAGAUAAUGACGGUACCUGGAGAAUAAGCCCCGGCUAACUUCGUGCCAGCAGCCGCGGUAAUACGAAGGGGGCUAGCGUUGCUCGGAAUCACUGGGCGUAAAGCGCACGUAGGUGGGUCGUUAAGUCGGGGGUGAAAUCCUGGAGCUCAACUCCAGAACUGCCUUCGAUACUGGCGAUCUUCGAGUCCGGGAGAGGUGAGUGGAACUGCGAGUGUAGAGGUGAAAUUCGUAGAUAUUCGCAAGAACACCAGUGGCGAAGGCGGCUCACUGGCCCGGUACUGACACUGAGGUGCGAAAGCGUGGGGAGCAAACAGG